Molecule: ribosomal RNA, 303 nt
Filed under: uncultured bacterium
Lineage: Bacteria
Description: partial 16S ribosomal RNA
Rfam family: Bacterial small subunit ribosomal RNA
Source: RNAcentral
AGCAGUAGCCGCGGUAAUACGUAGGUCCCGAGCGUUGUCCGGAUUUAUUGGGCGUAAAGCGAGCGCAGGCGGUUAGAUAAGUCUGAAGUUAAAGGCUGUGGCUUAACCAUAGUACGCUUUGGAAACUGUUUAACUUGAGUGCAAGAGGGGAGAGUGGAAUUCCAUGUGUAGCGGUGAAAUGCGUAGAUAUAUGGAGGAACACCGGUGGCGAAAGCGGCUCUCUGGCUUGUAACUGACGCUGAGGCUCGAAAGCGUGGGGAGCAAACAGGAUUAGAUACCCCGGUAGUCCCUGUCUCUUAUACA